RNAcentral lists this RNase P RNA (337 nucleotides) under Acidimicrobiaceae bacterium. RNAcentral describes it as "RNase P RNA component class A". It matches the Rfam family "Bacterial RNase P class A". From Rfam's summary of the family: Ribonuclease P (RNase P) is a ubiquitous endoribonuclease, found in archaea, bacteria and eukarya as well as chloroplasts and mitochondria. Its best characterised activity is the generation of mature 5'-ends of tRNAs by cleaving the 5'-leader elements of precursor-tRNAs. Cellular RNase Ps are ribonucleoproteins. The record is from RNAcentral. Lineage: Bacteria; Bacillati; Actinomycetota; Acidimicrobiia; Acidimicrobiales; Acidimicrobiaceae.
GGAGCCGACUGGAUGGCCGCGGUCCUUCGGGGCUGAGGAAAGUCGGGGCUCCGCAGGACAGGGUGCUGGCUCACGCCAGUCGAGGUGACUCGCAGGAAAGUGCCACAGAGAACAGACCGCCGGCGGGCUCGUCUCGCCGGUAAGGGUGAAACGGUGCGGUAAGAGCGCACCAGCAUCCCCGGUGACGGGGAUGGCUCGGCAAACCCCACUCGGAGCAAGGUCACGCAGGGAGAGAGCGGUCCGCUCGUCGACACUCCCGGGUCGACUGCACAGAUGGAUGGUCAUCCACGGGCCGCAAGGCCCCGGACAGAACCCCGCUUACAGGUUGACUCCCCGC